Molecule: ribosomal RNA, 2852 nt
Filed under: Bacillus inaquosorum
Lineage: Bacteria; Bacillati; Bacillota; Bacilli; Caryophanales; Bacillaceae
Description: partial 23S ribosomal RNA
Rfam family: Bacterial large subunit ribosomal RNA
Source: RNAcentral
GGUUAAGUUAGAAAGGGCGCACGGUGGAUGCCUUGGCACUAGGAGCCGAUGAAGGACGGGACGAACACCGAUAUGCUUCGGGGAGCUGUAAGCAAGCUUUGAUCCGGAGAUUUCCGAAUGGGGAAACCCACCACUCGUAAUGGAGUGGUAUCCAUAUCUGAAUUCAUAGGAUAUGAGAAGGCAGACCCGGGGAACUGAAACAUCUAAGUACCCGGAGGAAGAGAAAGCAAAUGCGAUUCCCUGAGUAGCGGCGAGCGAAACGGGAUUAGCCCAAACCAAGAGGCUUGCCUCUUGGGGUUGUAGGACACUCUGUACGGAGUUACAAAAGAACGAGGUAGAUGAAGAGGUCUGGAAAGGCCCGCCAUAGGAGGUAACAGCCCUGUAGUCAAAACUUCGUUCUCUCCUGAGUGGAUCCUGAGUACGGCGGAACACGUGAAAUUCCGUCGGAAUCCGGGAGGACCAUCUCCCAAGGCUAAAUACUCCCUAGUGACCGAUAGUGAACCAGUACCGUGAGGGAAAGGUGAAAAGCACCCCGGAAGGGGAGUGAAAGAGAUCCUGAAACCGUGUGCCUACAAGUAGUCAGAGCCCGUUAACGGGUGAUGGCGUGCCUUUUGUAGAAUGAACCGGCGAGUUACGAUCCCGUGCAAGGUUAAGCAGAAGAUGCGGAGCCGCAGCGAAAGCGAGUCUGAAUAGGGCGCAUGAGUACGUGGUCGUAGACCCGAAACCAGGUGAUCUACCCAUGUCCAGGGUGAAGUUCAGGUAACACUGAAUGGAGGCCCGAACCCACGCACGUUGAAAAGUGCGGGGAUGAGGUGUGGGUAGGGGUGAAAUGCCAAUCGAACCUGGAGAUAGCUGGUUCUCUCCGAAAUAGCUUUAGGGCUAGCCUCAAGGUAAGAGUCUUGGAGGUAGAGCACUGAUUGGACUAGGGGCCCCUACCGGGUUACCGAAUUCAGUCAAACUCCGAAUGCCAAUGACUUAUCCUUGGGAGUCAGACUGCGAGUGAUAAGAUCCGUAGUCGAAAGGGAAACAGCCCAGACCGCCAGCUAAGGUCCCAAAGUAUACGUUAAGUGGAAAAGGAUGUGGAGUUGCUUAGACAACCAGGAUGUUGGCUUAGAAGCAGCCACCAUUUAAAGAGUGCGUAAUAGCUCACUGGUCGAGUGACUCUGCGCCGAAAAUGUACCGGGGCUAAACGUAUCACCGAAGCUGCGGACUGUUCUUCGAACAGUGGUAGGAGAGCGUUCUAAGGGCUGUGAAGCCAGACCGGAAGGACUGGUGGAGCGCUUAGAAGUGAGAAUGCCGGUAUGAGUAGCGAAAGAGGGGUGAGAAUCCCCUCCACCGAAUGCCUAAGGUUUCCUGAGGAAGGCUCGUCCGCUCAGGGUUAGUCGGGACCUAAGCCGAGGCCGAAAGGCGUAGGCGAUGGACAACAGGUUGAUAUUCCUGUACCACCUCCUCACCAUUUGAGNNNNNNNNNNNNNNNNNNAAGGCUGAGCUGUGAUGGCGAGCGAAAUAUAGUAGCGAAGUUCCUGAUUCCACACUGCCAAGAAAAGCCUCUAGCGAGGUGAGAGGUGCCCGUACCGCAAACCGACACAGGUAGGCGAGGAGAGAAUCCUAAGGUGAUCGAGAGAACUCUCGUUAAGGAACUCGGCAAAAUGACCCCGUAACUUCGGGAGAAGGGGUGCUCUGUUAGGGUGCAAGCCCGAGAGAGCCGCAGUGAAUAGGCCCAGGCGACUGUUUAGCAAAAACACAGGUCUCUGCGAAGCCGUAAGGCGAAGUAUAGGGGCUGACGCCUGCCCGGUGCUGGAAGGUUAAGAGGAGCGCUUAGCGUAAGCGAAGGUGCGAAUUGAAGCCCCAGUAAACGGCGGCCGUAACUAUAACGGUCCUAAGGUAGCGAAAUUCCUUGUCGGGUAAGUUCCGACCCGCACGAAAGGCGCAACGAUCUGGGCACUGUCUCAACGAGAGACUCGGUGAAAUUAUAGUACCUGUGAAGAUGCAGGUUACCCGCGACAGGACGGAAAGACCCCGUGGAGCUUUACUGCAGCCUGAUAUUGAAUGUUGGUACAGCUUGUACAGGAUAGGUAGGAGCCUUGGAAACCGGAGCGCCAGCUUCGGUGGAGGCAUCGGUGGGAUACUACCCUGGCUGUAUUGACCUUCUAACCCGCCGCCCUUAUCGGGCGGGGAGACAGUGUCAGGUGGGCAGUUUGACUGGGGCGGUCGCCUCCUAAAAGGUAACGGAGGCGCCCAAAGGUUCCCUCAGAAUGGUUGGAAAUCAUUCGCAGAGUGUAAAGGCACAAGGGAGCUUGACUGCGAGACCUACAAGUCGAGCAGGGACGAAAGUCGGGCUUAGUGAUCCGGUGGUUCCGCAUGGAAGGGCCAUCGCUCAACGGAUAAAAGCUACCCCGGGGAUAACAGGCUUAUCUCCCCCAAGAGUCCACAUCGACGGGGAGGUUUGGCACCUCGAUGUCGGCUCAUCGCAUCCUGGGGCUGUAGUCGGUCCCAAGGGUUGGGCUGUUCGCCCAUUAAAGCGGUACGCGAGCUGGGUUCAGAACGUCGUGAGACAGUUCGGUCCCUAUCCGUCGCGGGCGCAGGAAAUUUGAGAGGAGCUGUCCUUAGUACGAGAGGACCGGGAUGGACGCACCGCUGGUGUACCAGUUGUUCUGCCAAGGGCAUCGCUGGGUAGCUAUGUGCGGACGGGAUAAGUGCUGAAAGCAUCUAAGCAUGAAGCCCCCCUCAAGAUGAGAUUUCCCAUUCCGCAAGGAAGUAAGAUCCCUGAAAGAUGAUCAGGUUGAUAGGUCUGAGGUGGAAGUGUGGCGACACAUGGAGCUGACAGAUACUAAUCGAUCGAGGACUUAACC